CUUUGCGCUUGCUGUGCCCCCGCCGGGUGCACCCCCAGACACCUGCGUGGCUUGCUUUCUCAUUUUCUCAAGCCUUUGCCCUUCUCAAUGGCACUUAUUCCCGCCUGACGAACCAUAGAGUCGGCUCCACAGUGGAAGGGGUGUUUAUAUCUUGUUCCCAGCUGGACUCCUAAUAGCGCCUGGUACACAGGUAUUCCAUGAACACUCGUUGAAUAAAUGCAGGGAGACCCGUUCCUGGGUCGAAGGAGGACUGCCCUCUGUGCCUCAGUGGGACCCACGGGAUAAGACAGUGCAAGGCCUGCGGGGUGUGGCCUUGUUUUUGAGAGCAAAGAGAACCUAACCACUCCCCUCUCCAAAAAAUUAAUCAGCAAAAACUGCACUAUCACCUGGCACAGGCCCGGAACAUUUCUCAGGUUAAUUCCAGCCCAGUCAUGAACUUAUUUCCCUCAUCUACUCAACAGAACGUUCAUGGGUCACCUGCCACAUGCCACACUUUGUGAUGGGUGGUACAAGGACACAACACGGAACGCAACGCAACAGGCAAUGAAAGUGGCUCGGUGGCUCAGGGAGACAGAGCUGGACGCAGGCACCCCAGCCCCGUGAGGCUGAGCCAGAGGAUGGGUCCCUAAGGUCGUACUGGCUCUGCCUGGGGAGACAGACGGGGUUUCCUAGGGGAGGGGGCAUUUGAGCCAGGGCUUUGAGGAAUGAAUAGGAGUAGGUUAGAGUUGGGCCUCCCGCAAAAGGGGGCACAGGAACCAGACUGUCAAGGCAUUAAAAAUUGGAGCCUGUGUACAAAGGAUCUUGAAUGUCAGGGUAGGGACAGGGACUUCUCUGACAGUCAGUCUUGUCCCCCUCAAGGUUCAGGGGGGAUUCCAAGCCAUUCCUGGUCUGGCCACUAGAGAGUAUGCAGGUCCCAUCACUGGGAAUCCAGGAAACCCCAGAUCCAGGGAGGGCAGUUCAUUUCAGGCCACUCAAGCCCAGCCCCUAGCUCAUUUCAUACCACCAACAUUCAUUCAUUCAUUCAUUCAUUCAUUCAUCCUGUAGAAGUUUAUGAGGUAUUGAGCAAGAGGCCUUACAACCAUCAGGCCUGUGUUCAAAUCCCACCAAGUCAUGCUGGCUGUGUGACCCCGGGUAGGUCACUUAACUCCUCUGUGCAAAUGGCAGAACCCACCUCCCGGGUUUUGGGAUUGGAUGAGGCUGGGAGCACACAUGGGCACACACGGCACUUCCUUGGUCCUCGCUGGUCCCCUUGGGUGGGCCAAGCUGCAUCCCACCUCACGACCCCUGUCUGGUCAUGCCCUCUGCUGGGCACGCCCUUCCCACUGUCCCUUCUGUUUCCUUGCUUCUGUUUCCAAUCCCUCCCUGAGGGAGCCCCAUCCCAUACUGCACCCCGCUGCCUGGCACCCUCUUUCCUUCUCCUACGGCUAUCCCCAAAUCCAGGAGUUAUCAAUGGCGUCUCCCAAUACAUGAGGCCAGUACUCAGCAUAUAGUAGAUGCCCCAUAGAUUCUUGAAUAAACGAAUAAUUAGUGAGUGCCUGCUGCGUGCCAGGCCCAGGCAGGGUUUGUGUACUAUAAAACUAAGAGCUAAGUAUGUGCUGGGCCUGAAGUUUAAUCUUCAUGCAAGCACCAUGAUCUGAGGAAAAUGAAGACCCCCAUUUUAUAGUUGGGGAGACUGAGGGCUCAAACAUGGUCAUGCGGCAGGGCCAGGACUCAGGCACAGGCCAUUGGGUCUCUGUGCCCUCUGCAUGGGCUCUUGCCUGCUGGCUACCCUGGGACUGUGGCACUGGAAUGCAAGCACUCAGGCCGUGUCUGCAAAUGACCCGGUGUCUCUGCUGUUCUGGGGCCCUCAGGUACCCACUUCCGGCCCUGUGGCUACCUUGCUGCUGCUGCUGCUGCUGCUGGGACAGACCUGGGAGGGCGCUCUGAUUGCCAGGCACAGUGAAACACAACUUGAGGGUUGCCCAGCACUUCCCGAGAAAGGCUCUGAAAGUGGGUUGAGGAGGUAGGCGGCACCUGGGCCCUACACAUACCCCCCAGGACAGGGCCAUGCCUCCCUCCUCAGACUUCCCACAACACGGUUGUGCUUCCCCCUAGCCACUGCAAGACAAGGACCAACAGCCCCUCCAAGACUCAGUCUUUCAUCUGUAAAGUGGGUCUGCCUCCCACCUCCCGGGCAGGCUGCCUCUGCACGUGGCGGCUGUGAUUAUAGUCUCCCAGCUCUCUCUAGUUGCUGGACCUUUCACGUGCCUUCCCCUUUGCCGGGAGCACCCUUUCCUUCCGCCGCGGCCGCCGCCACGCUGAGCCAGGGGCCUCAGGGGCAGAGGGGAAGUUGCCCUGACACCGUGCACCCUUGAGUCUCCGCCUUGGGCGGGUGACUUCUGCUCUUGCUAGGUUUCCUCGCCUGUCACCCAGGGACACAGUAGCUUUUGUCCUCUGUGUGGGGAGAUUUCAGGAGGUGGAGCCUGUACAAGGGCAGGGCCCCCCCCCCCCUCCUAAUCCUCUCCCAGGUUCACUCUGUUCCUUUUCUUGUGGCUUUGUAGUGUGUUUUGAUCUUGAUUUGGGGCAAGUGACCAUGUUUGAACUUCUUUUCUUUCUCAUUUAUUUUUCCAGAUGAGAGUUAGAACGGUCUUGGUUCGUUCUCAGGAGGGACCAAGCCAUGGAGAUUCCGACUGGAGCCACAUUCAACCACCAGAGAGCUGGUGGCAUUAAGUGGCCUGUCCUGGGCCAGGGGGCAGGUGUGCCCUCACGUAUUCACCUGCUUAGUUCAAAUCAAGCCUCAGGGAGGAGCCUUCGGGGACGUCGGGGUUGGAGAAAGCGAGUUCCCAUGUUGCAGGCAAGAGGCCGAGGCACCAAGCAGGUAGGGCCACUGGCCCACCAGCCAGUAUUCCUACAGGUGUGAAUGUGCCACCGUCUGAGUACGCAGUUUUUGUCUUUUAAAAAUUUUAUGUGUGUAUUUUGAGUUGUGUCUUUUCUCCCCCAUUUUAAAAUUUUUAUUUGAGAGAGAAAGAGAGAGAGAGAGAGACAAUGAAUCCCAAGCAGGCUCCACACUCAGCCUGACUCUGGGCUCCAUCUCAUGACCCUGGGAUCACCACCUGAGCAGAAAUCAACAGUCAGACACUCAACCGACUGAGCCACCCAGGCAUCCCUUCCCUUUCUAUUCGUGCUUGUUGGCUUGUACUUUUUAUUUCUAUCUUUCACUUUAUUCAUACACGCCCAGGUGUGUCUCCAAAAAGCGAGCUACUCGCUUACCUGAACCGAAGGCACAUUUACCAAAGACACAAAGUCACGGCUCAUCCGCAGCCUCAUCCAAGCUGGCUGCUCAUCUCCAUGGUUUUGUCUCGUUCCGCGUCCUGUGGUUGUCAAUUCUCCCACACGGGACAUUUUUGGCCGUGACCUUACACACGGCAUAGGCUUGGAUCAGGCCACGCGAGUUCUGGUGCUUUCUCUUCCCGUUCACAGGCCCAACCCCAGAACACUGGACACCUGAGCAAACAGACGACGGGCCAAGGUGGAUGACAGGACAAGGACGUGCCCAGGUCGCCCCUGUGCCGGGUGGUGAGGACGUGCCCUGGGGGCGAGAAUGCUGCAGGGUGGAGGACGCGCCCUGGGGGCGAGGACGCAGAGGCCACCGGCCGGACAGCGGCGAGCGCUGCGACCCCCGGACACAUCUGAUUUUGGUCGCUGAGACCCGCCUCAGACCCCUGACCCCCAGCACCGCGAGGCGUCGGGUUUGUGCAGCUAGAAUCGCGGUCAUCUGUUAGAGCAGCAAACGGGAACCGAAUCCAUCAAGCUCUCACGGGUCACGUGCACACACGCUCGGCCGCGCCGUCUUCCAGUCCCCGCCCUGGCAGGUUGUCUCUCCUACCAUUGGCCAGAUCUGGGUCACAUGGUCACGCCUAAACCAAUGGCUAGCAAGAGGAGGGCGGGCCCUACCUUUGGUUACAAAUCAUACUGCCGGCUCCCUGCCCAAGAUCUGGUCACUGUGCGGGGACGGCGGUGCGGUGGGGGCGCUUGGGGGUGGCGUGGAAGCGUUGCAGCGAGGAUUGCAUGGAUUGAGCAGGAAGGGCCUGGAACCCAGGCUGAGAAGCCUGGACUUCGUCCAGGGGCCAUGGGGAGCCACGGUGGCGUUUGAGAGGGGAGGGCACAUCCGAUGAAGGCGUCAUGAAGCCCAGCUCUGACCAGAGUUCUCCCGUAGCAUCCACCAUCCCCGAGUCUUCAGGUGCUGCCUUGGUUAUCAACAUCACAUACCCUAUCGGAGAACCCACAAGGCCUUGAAGUUUUCAGGUCCUAGUGCAAGGGCUGUGGACAUUGAGUGAGUGUGGAGUCCAUCACAAGCCUUCUUCCGGCUUGAGGAAGCCAAAGGGGACCCUCUCACUGUGGCACCAAACCCAUUCUGGGGGUCAGAAGUCCACCCCUGAACCAAAAUCGAGGUAUUGCAAUGGCAGGUCACGUACAUCACUGUGACCACAGAGGGAAGUGGUCUCCGCUUUUGACGAUCCUCUGAUUCCACUGGGCCCACCUGCGAGUCCCGGACCGUUUCCCUGAUCCAAACCUUUGAGGUGGGUUUUCUCUUACCUGUAGCACAAACAUCCUAUCACUUCUGUCCCCACACCCCCUUCCUCACCAUUGUUCAGUCCAAUGCGAUUUAAAUGUUCUCCUCCUCUGGGAAGUCUACCUGGGCCUCCCCAGUCUGCACUGGGUAUAGCAUCCUCCAUCACAGUCCUGAUCACUUUGGAUUGUCAUUGCCUGUUUUCUGUGGGGUCAGGAGGAGUGCAGCCUGGGGCCACGGGGAGUCAUGGUGGAUGUCUGAGCUGGGGGAGGAGCCUUAUGGUAGACAGCCAAGGUAGGAAGCGGGCUGCAGGGGAUGAGGCUGAGACCAGUUCAGGGUGGACAGGAGGGCAUGAAAAGGAGAGACCAAAUGGGGGGGGGGGGGAGAGGGCUCCCCAGAGAGGGCCAGUGUCUUGCUUAAGGUCACCCAGCACAUGGCCUCUGGGUCGGAGAGAUAGGCCAGGAUGGGAGGCAGGAGGCUGCUGGCAACUGGUCUCAGUUUCGAACCCACGCCAGGCCAACAAUGACCCUUUGGUUUGCACAAACCCAGGCUGGGGCGGCUGAACCACAGCAGGGUCAGCCCUCGGCCAAGGCCACAAUGUCCAGCUCUCGCACACCCCUGGUGAGGACAUAGGGUCCCAUCCCCGCCCCAUCCCCCACCGGGGGAGAAUCCCCUCACAUACUCAGAGGCCAAGGACAGGCCAAGAAGCUGGGUGUCCUCCCUCAGUGCCACUGGGCAGGAACGUGGCCCUUGGCCACGGGUGGGGGCACAUGGGUCAGGCUGAGCAGCUGAGAUGGGGCAGAGGUCUAGGCGUGGUGUAUGCUGCUGACAGAUCUCGUGUACACGGAAGGCGUCUGCUGUGUGGCUGCAGGGAUCUUUGGGUUCCAUACCCGGGGAAGGAGUGGGGGGAGAUGCGGGAAUGGGGGGGUGACGAGGCACCCCCCCCCACGAUACACCAUACUGCUCGCAAGCGUUUUUAUUUUCCCAAAAGCAUUUCCCCUCUUUGAA
Long non-coding RNA from Acinonyx jubatus (cheetah), 5557 nucleotides. RefSeq lists it as uncharacterized. The transcript is spliced from 4 exons. The record is from RefSeq and is a predicted model, not a curated record. Lineage: Eukaryota; Metazoa; Chordata; Mammalia; Carnivora; Felidae.